RNAcentral lists this long non-coding RNA (1828 nucleotides) under Sus scrofa (pig). Its description in RNAcentral is "lncRNA (ENSSSCG00065033873.1)". Lineage: Eukaryota; Metazoa; Chordata; Mammalia; Artiodactyla; Suidae. The record is from RNAcentral.
ACUCUCCGGCAGUUAUCCCGUUCUACACGCCGAUGUCCCCUAGGUGGGCACCGAGGUAACGGAGCGGAAAAGCAGGAGGAGAGGCGUGGUGCCCGCUGUCUAGAAGCGGAUGCGAGGCCCCCUGAGCCCGCAGUUGACGGCGGUGCCCUCGUUCCCGCCCUGCUCGCCGCCUCUCCCGGCGCCGCUCUUCCCACGGCCGGUGGCCGAGGCCGCGCCGAUGAACCCGGCUCAGGAGGCAAGUCUCUAACUGAAGACAAGGGUUUGAUAGACUACGGACAUUGGUUUGUACAUUCAGAUCAGUUCCAGCUGACCCCUAAGAUAUGUCAGUAAUUGGUUUAAUCUAGAGAGACAUUCUGUAUUGCUUCUUGCUUUAACUAGUGCAGAACAGACUGAGGGCGAGGAAGACAAGAAGGAGCCCAUCCCAGAAGCAAUUGCAUGCAUCCAGGACUUGCAUCUUCUAGGUCCCAUGUUGUCCAGCUAGAGCUGAGAGGGAGUGGACAUGGCUCCAGGCACAGCACGAGAGCCUCAGAGUGGGCCUGGCCCUGGUGAUUCACAUCUGGGGGAGGGUGUGAUGUCACAGCUGGGUUCACAUCAUACCAGGAACAUGUCCUGUGCCCAGCACUGUUUGGGUGUGUUGCACCCCAACCUUGAGUCUUUUGCCUGGCUGCUGACAUGGAGCUGAGGACCAAUAGACACCUUCUGGGCAGAAUAUUUCUGUAGAAGUGCCCCAGAUACAUCCUUCAACGGCAGACUUGUCCACCCAGACGACCUGUCCCUGGGAGAGGUGUAGGCUGGAAGAGCUGCACAGUCCCUGCUUCCACAUUGUCGUCACAUUGCGGGAAGCUGGGGAGGAUUUCCCUGGUAGCUCUGGCUUCCCCCUCCCAGCAGCCCUGGGAUCUAUUUGCUUUCCUUUAACAAAGACUUCGCCUGCUUGCUGCCUGUGUGUUCCUGGAGUUCAUUUCUUUGACUGCCCUGAUCAGGAACCCGGAUUCCCAUAUCAUCUUUCUGGUGGUAUCUUUUGGGGACUAGUCUGGGAUCCAAUCCAAUACAUCUGCACUCAUAAGAACGUCUGAGUCCCUGCCAGAUCUCCAGCAACAGAUUCAUGGGAUGUCUGAUCCAGCUCGCCCUCUGGAACUAGUUGACCUCUUCCUCCUGGUGGAAAUAUUUCAUCACCAUAGCCAUCAUCAUGAUCUUUAAUCCUUUUAUUUGGACCCUAUAUAAUUAAUUGUAUUUCUCACUUCAUUACAUCCCAGUUAAAAACUAUGGACCUGGAGUUCCCGUCGUGGCUCAGGGGUUAACGAAUCCGACUAGGAACCAUGAGGUUGCAGGUUCAACCCCUGGCCUUGCCCAGUGGGUUAAGGAUCUGCCAUUGCUGUGAGCUGUGGUGUAGGCCACAGACAUGGCUCAGAUCCCACGUUGCUGUGGCUCUGGUAUAGGCUGGUGGCUAUAGCUCUGAUUUGACGCCCUAGCCUGGGAACCUCCAUAUGCCGUGGGAGCAGCCCUAGAAAAGGAAAAAAGACACCCCCCCCCCAAAAAAAAAAAAAAAAAACUUAAUUGAGCUAUAUAGUCAGUUUGCCUUGAACUAACAUACCUAAAAUGUAUGGCUUGGUAAAUUUUAAUCUGCCUAAGCCCAUGGAAUGAUCAUCAUAACAUUCAUCACUCCUCUAUCUUUUGACAUUUCUCCCUAGGCCCCCAGGCUCUGCCACUUUUUCACCUUCAGUUAGUGUUUUCUAGACUUCUUUUUCCUGAAAAUAAUACUCUGUGAACAUGUACAGAAAAUUCUUUAUAUGAACAUAUGACUUUAAAAUGAAAGCUCUUUUUACAUCCC